UUUCCGUAGGUCGCUAAGUUCAGCCUACCAAAGCACACCUUUCAAAAUUGCUAGUCUCCCCCGAGGCGACACACUCAAUGUUGCGGAAAGGCCCUUUUUUCAAAGGGUAAUCCGCAGCCGGCCCCCCAAGGGCUGGUUCAGAGACUCAAUGAGUGUGGGUUUGGCCUUUCGGCCGAGCUUAAGAUAGAGCCCGUCCCUGUAGGCAACUGCAGGGAAUCAACGGAACCUGCGGAAGGAUCAUUAAAGAAUUGGUGACCCUUGCGGUCCCAUUCUCACCCUUUGUAUACCAAACUUCAGUUGCUUUGGCUGGCCUUCGCGGGCUGGCCAGAGGACUCAAACCCUUGAAUCUUUGCUGUCUGAGUACUAUAUAAUAGUUAAAACUUUCAACAACGGAUCUCUUGGUUCUGGCAUCGAUGAAGAACGCAGCGAAAUGCGAUAAGUAAUGUGAAUUGCAGAAUUCAGUGAAUCAUCGAAUCUUUGAACGCACAUUGCGCCCUCUGGUAUUCCGGGGGGCAUGCCUGUUCGAGCGUCAUUACAACCCUCAAGCUUAGCUUGGUAUUGGGCUCGCCCUUUAUGGGCCUGCCUCAAAAUCAGUGGCGGCUCCGUCCAGUCUCAAGCGCAGUAAUACUCGUCGCUUGUUUGGCUUGGUCGGUGGCCUGCUAACAACCCCCAAUUUUACAAGGUUGACCUCGGAUCAGGUAGGGAUACCCGCUGAACUUAA
RNAcentral lists this unclassified non-coding RNA (721 nucleotides) under Coccomyces sp. V12W11. RNAcentral describes it as "partial contains 18S rRNA, ITS1, 5.8S rRNA, ITS2 and 28S RNA". The stretch from base 379 to 532 matches the Rfam family "5.8S ribosomal RNA". The record is from RNAcentral. Lineage: Eukaryota; Fungi; Ascomycota; Leotiomycetes; Rhytismatales; Rhytismataceae.